UACAAUCAGUCUUCAUCAAUCAGAGCUGCAGUAACUGAUCCAUCGAAAUAUUAAGUCAAUAAACAAAGUAAAAUAGGCACUUUAUGACAUUUACCACCCCAGGAACAACAUUAUUAAAACAUCCAACAUUACAUCUUGUGAAUCUGGAGCUUUUUGAACGACUGCAGGUUUUAACAGUUUCAGCGACAGUGGGGCGUCCUGACCAAGAUUCAAAUAUAUGAACGCACAGCAGUCACCGACUCGUGGUCACGGACGAUACAAUAUCCAAAUUCUACCGAUGAAGACACGGCGGUGAGGAUGCACAGAGUGGAGGUCAUGACAGAGAUUAAAAAGUGAGAUUUUUGAUGGUGCAGUUUUCAUCUUUGUCCUUCUUGGAGUCACAGGUUCCACUGCUGUCCAGUAUGAGUACAUCCUUUUCAGCUACGAGCUGUCCUGGCGUGAGGCCCAGGGAUACUGCAGAGAACACUACAGUGACCUGGCCACCAUAAGAGACAUUCAGGACAACAACAUGAUCAGUGAGAUAGCUGAAAACGAUGCCUUCUGGAUCAGCCUGUACGAUGAAAUCAUCGGCUGGACGUGGU
Thalassophryne amazonica is the source of this 581-nucleotide long non-coding RNA. RefSeq lists it as uncharacterized. The transcript has 4 exons. The record is from RefSeq and is a predicted model, not a curated record. Lineage: Eukaryota; Metazoa; Chordata; Actinopteri; Batrachoidiformes; Batrachoididae.